GAUGAACGCUGGCGGCGUGCCUAAUACAUGCCAGUCGAGCGAACGGACGAGAAGCUUGCUUCUCUGAUGUUAGCGGCGGACGGGUGAGUAACACGUGGAUAACCUACCUAUAAGACUGGGAUAACUUCGGGAAACCGGAGCUAAUACCGGAUACUAUUUUGAACCGCAUGGUUCAAAAGUGAAAGACGGUCUUGCUGUCACUUAUAGAUGGAUCCGCGCUGCAUUAGCUAGUUGGUAAGGUAACGGCUUACCAAGGCAACGAUGCAUAGCCGACCUGAGAGGGUGAUCGGCCACACUGGAACUGAGACACGGUCCAGACUCCUACGGGAGGCAGCAGUAGGGAAUCUUCCGCAAUGGGCGAAAGCCUGACGGAGCAACGCCGCGUGAGUGAUGAAGGUCUUCGGAUCGUAAAACUCUGUUAUUAGGGAAGAACAUAUGUGUAAGUAACUGUGCACAUCUUGACGGUACCUAAUCAGAAAGCCACGGCUAACUACGUG
RNAcentral lists this ribosomal RNA (497 nucleotides) under uncultured bacterium. RNAcentral's name for it is "partial 16S ribosomal RNA". It matches the Rfam family "Bacterial small subunit ribosomal RNA", at positions 28 to 507 of the family's 1533-position model. The record is from RNAcentral.